Long non-coding RNA from Oncorhynchus tshawytscha (Chinook salmon), 368 nucleotides. The record is from Ensembl. Lineage: Eukaryota; Metazoa; Chordata; Actinopteri; Salmoniformes; Salmonidae.
GGCAGAGAGAGAGAGAGAGAGAGAGAGAGAGAGGGGGAAGGCAGAGAGAGAGAGGGGGAAGGCAGAGAGAGAGGCGGAAGGCAGAGAGAGAGGGGGGGAAGGCAGAGAGAGAGAGAGGGAAGGCAGAGAGAGAGAGAGGGAAGGCAGAGAGAGAGGGAAGGCAGAGAGAGAGGGAAGGCAGAGAGAGAGAGGGAAGGCAUAGAGAGAGAGAGAGAGAGAGAGGGGAAGGCAUAGAGAGAGAGAGAGAGAGAGAGAGAGAGAGAGGGGAAGGCAUAGAGAGAGAGAGAGAGAGAGAGAGAGAGAGAGAGAGAGAGAGAGAGAGAGAGAGAGGGAGACAGAUAGAGAGAGAGAGAGAGAGAGAGAGAGAG